CACAAACGCCGGAGCAUCCGGAUUAAUUCGAUGCAAACCGAAGAACCGUACCCAAGGCCUUGACAUGGGCCCGGAUCGGGCCUGGAAACAGUCCUUCCCCUUUGGGGCCGGCUCACAGGUGGUGCAUGGUUGUCGUCAGCUCGUGUCGUGAGAUGCUGGCUAAGUCCCGCAACGAGCGCAACCCUCGUUCCAUGUUGCCAGCACGUAGUGGUGGGGACUCAUGGGAGACUGCCCGGGGUCAACUCGGAGGAAGGUGAGGACGACGUCAAAUCAUCAUGCCCCGUAUGUCUUGGGCUUCACGCAUGCUACAAUGGCCGGUACAAUGGGUUGCGAUACUGUGAGGUGGAGCUAAUCCCAAAAAGCCGGUCUCAGUUCGGAUUGGGGUCUGCAACUCGACACCCAGAAGUCGGCCUCGCUAGUAAUCGCAGAUCAGCAACGCUGCGGUGAAUACGUUCCCGGGCCUUGUACACACCGCCCGUCAAGUCACGAAAGUUGGUAACACCCGAAGCCGGUGGCCCAACCCUUUUUGGGAGGGAGCCGUCGAAGGUGGGACCGCGCCCUCGGGAUACCUCGAACAAGGUACCGUACCGGAAGGUGCGGAUGGAUCACCUCCUUAAGAGGCGAUUCGCGCCGCUAAAUUCAUUCCCUUAAAUGAGUGAUA
RNAcentral lists this ribosomal RNA (661 nucleotides) under uncultured bacterium. RNAcentral describes it as "bacterial SSU rRNA". It matches the Rfam family "Bacterial small subunit ribosomal RNA", at positions 924 to 1533 of the family's 1533-position model. The record is from RNAcentral.